UGGUCAAUUGGCGAAAGCCAGAACCAGUCAUGCCGCGUGCAGGAUGAAGGCCCUACGGGUCGUAAACUGCUUUUAUUCGGGAAGAAAAAGUCUGUUUCCACAGACCUUGACGGUACCGAUUGAAUAAGGACCGGCCAACUCCGUGCCAGCAGCCGCGGUAAUACGGAGGGUCCAAGCGUUAUCCGGAUUCACUGGGUUUAAAGGGUGCGCAGGCGGCCAAGUAAGUCAGUGGUGAAAGCCUUCGGCUCAACCGGAGAAUUGCCAUUGAAACUACUUGGCUUGAGUGCAGCAGAGGUAGGCGGAAUGUAGCAUGUAGCGGUGAAAUGCAUAGAUAUGCUACAGAACACCGAUAGCGAAAGCAGCUUACCACACUGUAACUGACGCUGAGGC
This 390-nucleotide ribosomal RNA is filed under the name uncultured Bacteroidota bacterium. RNAcentral's name for it is "bacterial SSU rRNA". It matches the Rfam family "Bacterial small subunit ribosomal RNA", at positions 365 to 752 of the family's 1533-position model. The record is from RNAcentral. Lineage: Bacteria; Pseudomonadati; Bacteroidota.